Long non-coding RNA from Nomascus leucogenys (northern white-cheeked gibbon), 1196 nucleotides. RefSeq lists it as uncharacterized. Lineage: Eukaryota; Metazoa; Chordata; Mammalia; Primates; Hylobatidae. The transcript has 3 exons. The record is from RefSeq and is a predicted model, not a curated record.
GCAAGGAAGCACAGGAGAGUGGUGGAGUCAGCUGCUCUGUCACAGAGCAGUCACAGGCUCUGCUGCUCUGCCUGUGUGCAAAGGAUGCUGCUUAAGAGUUCAUUGGCAAAAACAGUUUUUGAAAACUACUAGACUUGGAUUUCUAAGAUCCAGGAUUCUACAUCCCUCCUGGCAGACUGAAACCUAAAGAAGAAAAACUUCUGAUUAUAUAAUUUCACGAGUUAAAAGGUCCCUCCAUUCGGGGUCCCUGACUUCCCGCAACAGAUGGCAUUUACUUGGAAGCUGUGCAGUCAGCAACCAAGAUCAUGGGAAACACCACAGGACAAAUGACCAGCUUUGUUCAACAACUGAAUUACCAGGAAAAAUUCAAAAGGGAGACAUGAAAGAGGAACCUAUACAUAAAGAGACUUAAGAGACAUAGCAAGCAAUCUCAAUGUGUGGCCUUUAUUUGGUCCUAAUUCAAGAAAACAAAAUGUAAAGAGAAAAAGAGACAUUUAUGAGACUUUUUCAGAGAGGCAUUUCCUGACCAUCUAACCUAAACCAUCUUCCCCAAUUAUUAUCACAUCAUGCUUUAUUUCACAGUACUUAACACUAUCUGAAAUUACACUGUUUUAUUAAAGAAUGACUCCCUCCAUCUAAUGGAGGCUCCAUGAACACAGCCACCUUUGCCUGUCCUACUCACCAUGAAUUCCUAUAUGAAUGAUUAAAUUAAUUUGAACAGACCUUGGUUUCAGUCCUGGUUCUACAAUUUACUAGCUAAGUAUUCCAUCUUAACAAAAUGUUGAGUCUUCUGAUCCAUGAAUAUGGGAUGUAUUUUCAUUUAUUUAGGUUGUCAUUAAUUUCAACAAUGUUUUAUAGUAUUCAUUGUAUAAGCUUUGCACUUCUUUUGUGAAUUUAUCCUACCCAUUCUGUCUCCUACCCUUCUAGGACUCUGAUUACACAUGUCAGACUGCCUGAUAUUGUUGCACAGAUCGCAGAAAUGCUCUAUCCAUUUUUUUUCCAUCUCUGUGACCUUCAUUUUAGAUAAUUUCUAUUGAUACGUCUUUGAGUUCACUGUUCUUUUGUAGUAUUCACUCUGCUGUUAAGCCUAUUUUGUUUUUUAUUUCACGUACUAGAUUUAAACUUCAAAUACAGAUAAAGACUUCCGUUUUUUUUUUUUCUUUUUUUUUUUGAGAUGGAGUCUCGCUCUGUUUCCC